RNAcentral lists this small RNA (580 nucleotides) under Pongo abelii (Sumatran orangutan). RNAcentral describes it as "retained intron". The record is from RNAcentral. Lineage: Eukaryota; Metazoa; Chordata; Mammalia; Primates; Hominidae.
AAAGCUGAGAACAUGGACGUUAAUAUCGCCCCACUCCGCGCCUGGGACGAUUUCUUCCCGGGUUCCGAUCGCUUUGCCCGGCCGGACUUCAGGGACAUUUCCAAAUGGAACAACCGCGUGGUGAGCAACCUGCUCUAUUACCAGACCAACUACCUGGUGGUGGCUGCCAUGAUGAUUUCCAUUGUGGGGUUUCUGAGUCCCUUCAACAUGAUCCUGGGAGGGAUCGUGGUGGUGCUGGUGUUCACAGGGUUUGUGUGGGCAGCCCACAAUAAAGACGUCCUUCGCCGGAUGAAGAAGCGCUACCCCACAACGUUCGUUAUGGUGGUCAUGUUGGCGAGCUAUUUCCUUAUAUCCAUGUUUGGAGGAGUCAUGGUCUUUGUGUUUGGCAUUACUUUUCCUUUGCUGUGUAAGUGAACUUGAGUUUUUUCUUCCAUCAUCAAAAAAAUGUAGGAGCAAUUAUCCAACGGGAAUUCCAUAACCUGUUUCUUAUAUGUGUUGGCAUGUCAGCAAAAGUGUCAGAAUUUUCUAAAACAGCUUUCUACUUGUUAUCCAACUAGACCCAGAUAACACAGAACUGAGA